This 76-nucleotide transfer RNA is filed under the name Salmonella enterica subsp. enterica serovar Hartford. RNAcentral's name for it is "tRNA-Gln(ttg)". It matches the Rfam family "tRNA". Rfam says of the family: Transfer RNA (tRNA) molecules are approximately 80 nucleotides in length. Their secondary structure includes four short double-helical elements and three loops (D, anti-codon, and T loops). Lineage: Bacteria; Pseudomonadati; Pseudomonadota; Gammaproteobacteria; Enterobacterales; Enterobacteriaceae. The record is from RNAcentral.
GGGGGUAUCGCCAAGCGGUAAGGCACCGGUUUUUGAUACCCGGCAUUCCCUGGUUCGAAUCCAGGUACCCCAGCCA